Molecule: ribosomal RNA, 446 nt
Filed under: uncultured bacterium
Lineage: Bacteria
Description: partial 16S ribosomal RNA
Rfam family: Bacterial small subunit ribosomal RNA
Source: RNAcentral
CCUACGGGAGACAGCAGUCGAGAAUCAUUCACAAUGGGGGAAACCCUGAUGGUGCGACGCCGCGUGGGGGAAUGAAGGUCUUCGGAUUGUAAACCCCUGUCAUGUGGGAGCAAAUUAACAAGAUAGUACCACAAGAGGAAGAGACGGCUAACUCUGUGCCAGCAGCCGCGGUAAUACAGAGGUCUCAAGCGUUGUUCGGAAUCACUGGGCGUAAAGGGUGCGUAGGCUGUUUCGUAAGUCGUGUGUGAAAGGCGCGGGCUCAACCCGCGGACGGCACAUGAUACUGCGAGACUAGAGUAAUGGAGGGGGAACCGGAAUUCUCGGUGUAGCAGUGAAAUGCGUAGAUAUCGAGAGGAACACUCGUGGCGAAGGCGGGUUCCUGGACAUUAACUGACGCUGAGGCACGAAGGCCAGGGGAGCGAAAGGGAUUAGAUACCCGAGUAGUC